Molecule: ribosomal RNA, 327 nt
Filed under: uncultured eukaryote
Lineage: Eukaryota
Description: partial 18S ribosomal RNA
Rfam family: Eukaryotic small subunit ribosomal RNA
Source: RNAcentral
CCCUUAGAUGUUCUGGGCCGCACGCGCGCUACACUGAUUCAUGCAACAAGUUUUGGCCUUGGCUGAUAGGCCUGGGUAAUCUUUGAACGUGAAUCGUGAUGGGGAUAGAUGAUUGCAAUUAUUCAUCUUCAACGAGGAAUUCCUAGUAAACGCAAGUCAUCAGCUUGCAUUGAUUACGUCCCUGCCCUUUGUACACACCGCCCGUCGCACCUACCGAUUGAAUGGUCCGGUGAAAUCUUCGGAUCUGAGAGAUGUCUGAUUAAUUUCGGACGCCUUUUGGAAAAGUUGCUUAAACCUUACCAUUUAGAGGAAGGUGAAGUCGUANCA